CGUGUAGGCGGAUGGGAACGUCGGAUACUGAAAGCCCCCGGCUCAACCGGGGAAGUGGUUCCGAAACGACCUGUCUGGAGGGACGUAGGGGGAUCUGGAACUUCCGGUGGAGCGGUGAAAUGCGUUGAGAUCGGAAGGAACGCCCGUGGCGAAAGCGAGGUCCUGGACGUCUGCUGACGCUGAGACGCGAAAGCUAGGGGAGCAAACGGGAUUAGAUACCCCGGUAGUCCUAGCCGUAAACGAUGGGCACUGGGUAGGGGGCUCGCCGAUGGGCUCUCUGCCGUAGCGAAAGCGUGAAGUGCCCCGCCUGGGGAGUAUGGUCGCAAGGCUGAA
RNAcentral lists this ribosomal RNA (333 nucleotides) under uncultured bacterium. Its description in RNAcentral is "bacterial SSU rRNA". It matches the Rfam family "Bacterial small subunit ribosomal RNA", at positions 568 to 898 of the family's 1533-position model. The record is from RNAcentral.